This 372-nucleotide small RNA is filed under the name Histoplasma capsulatum. RNAcentral's name for it is "hypothetical RNA". RNAcentral also lists the same sequence under 1 other name. Lineage: Eukaryota; Fungi; Ascomycota; Eurotiomycetes; Onygenales; Ajellomycetaceae. The record is from RNAcentral.
UACUCCAAGGCAGUUCCGAUGGCAACGUUCGACGAAAUUGAGAGAAAGAUGCGCGAAGAGAACUUCAAAGUGUAUCUCAUUGGCCUCGACAAGGAAAUCGCCGAUUGCCACACUCUGAUUAACCUUCAGGGAAAGCUGAACUGCAAGUUCGUUGUCGGCUAUUACUUCGGUGAUAAACCACAGCGUCCUAACCUCAAAGAGCGCUGGCCACAAUCCUCUGAAGAAAAUUUGAAGCGCCUUGCUGAUGCUGGCAUCCCGCUGGAUCGCCAAAUUCCGAAAUGCGUCAACUGUGGCCAAAUGGGACAUGGAUCGCGUGCAUGUCCGGACGAGCGUUCGGUUGUUGAGAAGGUGGAGGUCAAAUGUGUGAAUUGU